UCCUUUGGAGACGACUCGCGCGCAUCCCUUGAAAUCGGCCUUUCUGCCGUCUCUGAGAGAGUCGACUCCGAAAAGUCGGGAGUCGACUCCGACCCUGCGAGACGCCUCGGCAGGUGCCGGGGACGUCUCCAGGCGUGCCAGUUCCUCUUCUACGUGCCAGAGACGUCUCUGGAACAAACCGGAGACGUCUCGGCUGCCCCUGAUCCGUUUUCUUCA
Molecule: long non-coding RNA, 216 nt
Filed under: Phoenix dactylifera (date palm)
Lineage: Eukaryota; Viridiplantae; Streptophyta; Magnoliopsida; Arecales; Arecaceae
Description: long non-coding RNA (PDAC_LNC010384)
Source: RNAcentral